This 397-nucleotide ribosomal RNA is filed under the name uncultured bacterium. Its description in RNAcentral is "partial 16S ribosomal RNA". It matches the Rfam family "Bacterial small subunit ribosomal RNA", at positions 523 to 918 of the family's 1533-position model. The record is from RNAcentral.
AUACGUAGGGGGCGAGCGUUGUCCGGAAUGAUUGGGCGUAAAGGGCGCGUAGGCGGCCCGGUAAGUCUGGAGUGAAAGUCCUGUUUUUAAGUUGGGAAUUGCUUUGGAUACUGUCGGGCUUGUGUGACGGAUAGGAUAGCGGAUUUCCCAGUGUAGCGGUGAUACGCGUAGAGAUUGGGAGGAACACCAGUGGCGAAGACGACUUACUGGACAGUAACUGACGCUGAGGCGCGAAAGUGUGGGGAGCAAACAGGAUUAGAUACCCUGGUAGUCCACACUGUAAACGAUGAAUACUAGGUGUAGGGAGUAUCGACCCCUUCUGUGCCGCAGGCAACACAAUAAGCAAUCCGCCUGGGGAGUACGGCCGCAAGGUUGAAACUCAAAUGAAUUGACGGGG